RNAcentral lists this ribosomal RNA (424 nucleotides) under Anodonthyla aff. boulengerii 'Betamona'. RNAcentral describes it as "partial 16S ribosomal RNA". It matches the Rfam family "Bacterial large subunit ribosomal RNA", at positions 1854 to 2499 of the family's 2925-position model. The record is from RNAcentral. Lineage: Eukaryota; Metazoa; Chordata; Amphibia; Anura; Microhylidae.
CAGCCUGCCCAGUGACAAAGUUAAACGGCCGCGGUAUCCUGACCGUGCGAAGGUAGCAUAAUCACUUGUUCUUUAAAUCAGGACUAGUAUGAACGGCCUCACGAGAGCUACACUGUCUCCCCCCUUCAAUCAGUGAAACUGAUCCCCUCGUGAAGAAGCGAGGAUGAUUAUAUAAGACGAGAAGACCCCAUGGAGCUUUAAACUUGUACCACUGCCCUAUACCUUCACCCAGACAUUACAGCACCCUGGCAACAAGUCUUUCGGCUGGGGCGACCACGGAGAAAAACAAAACCUCCAUGAUGAAAGGAACUCCCUAAUCAAAGGGCUACUACCCCAAGAAUCAACAAAUUGACACUUUGACCCAAACAUUUUGAUCAACGAACCAAGUUACCCUGGGGAUAACAGCGCAAUCCAUUUCGAGAGA